This 2931-nucleotide ribosomal RNA is filed under the name Escherichia coli. RNAcentral describes it as "23S ribosomal RNA". It matches the Rfam family "Bacterial large subunit ribosomal RNA". The record is from RNAcentral. Lineage: Bacteria; Pseudomonadati; Pseudomonadota; Gammaproteobacteria; Enterobacterales; Enterobacteriaceae.
GGGUUGUGAGGUUAAGCGACUAAGCGUACACGGUGGAUGCCCUGGCAGUCAGAGGCGAUGAAGGACGUGCUAAUCUGCGAUAAGCGUCGGUAAGGUGAUAUGAACCGUUAUAACCGGCGAUUUCCGAAUGGGGAAACCCAGUGUGUUUCGACACACUAUCAUUAACUGAAUCCAUAGGUUAAUGAGGCGAACCGGGGGAACUGAAACAUCUAAGUACCCCGAGGAAAAGAAAUCAACCGAGAUUCCCCCAGUAGCGGCGAGCGAACGGGGAGCAGCCCAGAGCCUGAAUCAGUGUGUGUGUUAGUGGAAGCGUCUGGAAAGGCGUGCGAUACAGGGUGACAGCCCCGUACACAAAAAUGCACAUAUUGUGAGCUCGAUGAGUAGGGCGGGACACGUGGUAUCCUGUCUGAAUAUGGGGGGACCAUCCUCCAAGGCUAAAUACUCCUGACUGACCGAUAGUGAACCAGUACCGUGAGGGAAAGGCGAAAAGAACCCCGGCGAGGGGAGUGAAAAAGAACCUGAAACCGUGUACGUACAAGCAGUGGGAGCCUCUUUUAUGGGGUGACUGCGUACCUUUUGUAUAAUGGGUCAGCGACUUAUAUUCUGUAGCAAGGUUAACCGAAUAGGGGAGCCGAAGGGAAACCGAGUCUUAACUGGGCGUUAAGUUGCAGGGUAUAGACCCGAAACCCGGUGAUCUAGCCAUGGGCAGGUUGAAGGUUGGGUAACACUAACUGGAGGACCGAACCGACUAAUGUUGAAAAAUUAGCGGAUGACUUGUGGCUGGGGGUGAAAGGCCAAUCAAACCGGGAGAUAGCUGGUUCUCCCCGAAAGCUAUUUAGGUAGCGCCUCGUGAAUUCAUCUCCGGGGGUAGAGCACUGUUUCGGCAAGGGGGUCAUCCCGACUUACCAACCCGAUGCAAACUGCGAAUACCGGAGAAUGUUAUCACGGGAGACACACGGCGGGUGCUAACGUCCGUCGUGAAGAGGGAAACAACCCAGACCGCCAGCUAAGGUCCCAAAGUCAUGGUUAAGUGGGAAACGAUGUGGGAAGGCCCAGACAGCCAGGAUGUUGGCUUAGAAGCAGCCAUCAUUUAAAGAAAGCGUAAUAGCUCACUGGUCGAGUCGGCCUGCGCGGAAGAUGUAACGGGGCUAAACCAUGCACCGAAGCUGCGGCAGCGACGCUUAUGCGUUGUUGGGUAGGGGAGCGUUCUGUAAGCCUGUGAAGGUGUGCUGUGAGGCAUGCUGGAGGUAUCAGAAGUGCGAAUGCUGACAUAAGUAACGAUAAAGCGGGUGAAAAGCCCGCUCGCCGGAAGACCAAGGGUUCCUGUCCAACGUUAAUCGGGGCAGGGUGAGUCGACCCCUAAGGCGAGGCCGAAAGGCGUAGUCGAUGGGAAACAGGUUAAUAUUCCUGUACUUGGUGUUACUGCGAAGGGGGGACGGAGAAGGCUAUGUUGGCCGGGCGACGGUUGUCCCGGUUUAAGCGUGUAGGCUGGUUUUCCAGGCAAAUCCGGAAAAUCAAGGCUGAGGCGUGAUGACGAGGCACUACGGUGCUGAAGCAACAAAUGCCCUGCUUCCAGGAAAAGCCUCUAAGCAUCAGGUAACAUCAAAUCGUACCCCAAACCGACACAGGUGGUCAGGUAGAGAAUACCAAGGCGCUUGAGAGAACUCGGGUGAAGGAACUAGGCAAAAUGGUGCCGUAACUUCGGGAGAAGGCACGCUGAUAUGUAGGUGAAGUCCCUUGCGGAUGGAGCUGAAAUCAGUCGAAGAUACCAGCUGGCUGCAACUGUUUAUUAAAAACACAGCACUGUGCAAACACGAAAGUGGACGUAUACGGUGUGACGCCUGCCCGGUGCCGGAAGGUUAAUUGAUGGGGUCAGCGCAAGCGAAGCUCUUGAUCGAAGCCCCGGUAAACGGCGGCCGUAACUAUAACGGUCCUAAGGUAGCGAAAUUCCUUGUCGGGUAAGUUCCGACCUGCACGAAUGGCGUAAUGAUGGCCAGGCUGUCUCCACCCGAGACUCAGUGAAAUUGAACUCGCUGUGAAGAUGCAGUGUACCCGCGGCAAGACGGAAAGACCCCGUGAACCUUUACUAUAGCUUGACACUGAACAUUGAGCCUUGAUGUGUAGGAUAGGUGGGAGGCUUUGAAGUGUGGACGCCAGUCUGCAUGGAGCCGACCUUGAAAUACCACCCUUUAAUGUUUGAUGUUCUAACGUGGACCCGUGAUCCGGGUUGCGGACAGUGUCUGGUGGGUAGUUUGACUGGGGCGGUCUCCUCCUAAAGAGUAACGGAGGAGCACGAAGGUUGGCUAAUCCUGGUCGGACAUCAGGAGGUUAGUGCAAUGGCAUAAGCCAGCUUGACUGCGAGCGUGACGGCGCGAGCAGGUGCGAAAGCAGGUCAUAGUGAUCCGGUGGUUCUGAAUGGAAGGGCCAUCGCUCAACGGAUAAAAGGUACUCCGGGGAUAACAGGCUGAUACCGCCCAAGAGUUCAUAUCGACGGCGGUGUUUGGCACCUCGAUGUCGGCUCAUCACAUCCUGGGGCUGAAGUAGGUCCCAAGGGUAUGGCUGUUCGCCAUUUAAAGUGGUACGCGAGCUGGGUUUAGAACGUCGUGAGACAGUUCGGUCCCUAUCUGCCGUGGGCGCUGGAGAACUGAGGGGGGCUGCUCCUAGUACGAGAGGACCGGAGUGGACGCAUCACUGGUGUUCGGGUUGUCAUGCCAAUGGCACUGCCCGGUAGCUAAAUGCGGAAGAGAUAAGUGCUGAAAGCAUCUAAGCACGAAACUUGCCCCGAGAUGAGUUCUCCCUGACCCUUUAAGGGUCCUGAAGGAACGUUGAAGACGACGACGUUGAUAGGCCGGGUGUGUAAGCGCAGCGAUGCGUUGAGCUAACCGGUACUAAUGAACCGUGAGGCUUAACCUUACAACGCCGAAGGUGUUU